Molecule: unclassified non-coding RNA, 371 nt
Filed under: uncultured fungus
Lineage: Eukaryota; Fungi
Description: partial contains 5.8S ribosomal RNA and internal transcribed spacer 2
Rfam family: 5.8S ribosomal RNA (bases 1-133)
Source: RNAcentral
UGGCUCUCGCAUCGAUGAAGAACGCAGCGAAAUGCGAUAAGUAAUGUGAAUUGCAGAAUUCAGUGAAUCAUCGAAUCUUUGAACGCACCUUGCACCCCUUGGUAUUCCGAGGGGUAUGCCUGUUUGAGUGUCAUUAAAUUAUCAACUUGGAAAUUUUCUUUUUUCCAAUGUUUGGACUUGGAGCGUGCCGGCGGUGUCCUUCCCCGGCUCCUCUUCAAAUGCAUUAGCAGAUCUAUUGCUGAUCCCUGCUCCAGCGUGAUAGUUAUCAACGUUGCGGUGGGUGUAUGCGCAGGUCGGCUCAUAACCGUCGCAUAUAUGCGCGACAUCUCUUUGACAAUUUUGACCUCAAAUCAGGUAGGACUACCCGCUGA